CAAUAGCGUAUAUUUAAGUUGUUGCAGUUAAAAAGCUCGUAGUCGGAUUUUGGCUGAGAACGAUCGGUCCGCCGUUAGGUGCGCACUGAUUGGUCUCAGCUUCCUGGUGAGGAGGUGUGCUUCACGGCCACUUAGUCACCGUGGUUACUUUGAAAAAAUUAGAGUGUUCAAAGCGGGCUUACGCUUGAAUAUAUUAGCAUGGAAUAACACCAUAGGACUCCUGUCCUAUUUCGUUGGUCACGGGACGGGAGUAAUGAUUAAGAGGAACAGUUGGGGGCAUUCGUAUUUCAUUGUCAGAGGUGAAAUUCUUGGAUUUAUGAAAGACGAACUUCUGCGAAAGCAUUUGCCAAGGAUGUUUUCAUUGA
This 365-nucleotide ribosomal RNA is filed under the name uncultured eukaryote. RNAcentral's name for it is "partial 18S ribosomal RNA". It matches the Rfam family "Eukaryotic small subunit ribosomal RNA", at positions 592 to 976 of the family's 1831-position model. The record is from RNAcentral.